This 463-nucleotide ribosomal RNA is filed under the name uncultured bacterium. Its description in RNAcentral is "bacterial SSU rRNA". It matches the Rfam family "Bacterial small subunit ribosomal RNA", at positions 335 to 795 of the family's 1533-position model. The record is from RNAcentral.
ACUCCUACGGGAGGCAGCAGUAAGGAAUAUUGGGCAAUGGAGGCAACUCUGACCCAGCCAUGCCGCGUGCAGGAAGACGGCCCUACGGGUUGUAAACUGCUUUUAAUAGGGAGUAAGGUUAGUUACGUGUAACUAAUUGCAAGUACCUAUAGAAUAAGGAUCGGCUAACUCCGUGCCAGCAGCCGCGGUAAUACGGAGGAUCCAAGCGUUAUCCGGAUUUAUUGGGUUUAAAGGGUGCGCAGGCGGACUAAUAAGUCAGUGGUGAAAUCUACAUGCUUAACAUGUAUCGUGCCAUUGAUACUGUUGGACUAGUAUGCAAAUGACGUAGCUGGAAUGUGUUAUGUAGCGGUGAAAUGCUUAGAUAUAACACAGAACACCAAUCGUGAAGACAGGUUACGAAUUUGUAAUAGACGCUCAGGCACGAAAGCGUGGGGAUCAAACAGGAUUAGAUACCCUGGUAGUC